This 3570-nucleotide long non-coding RNA is filed under the name Malus domestica (apple). Its description in RNAcentral is "long non-coding RNA (MDOM_LNC017212)". Lineage: Eukaryota; Viridiplantae; Streptophyta; Magnoliopsida; Rosales; Rosaceae. The record is from RNAcentral.
AAACUUAAGGGUCGUUUUCGGGUGGAUGCUAUAUAAUGGAAGAGAUUGAAUCUCUACAUGUGGUUGAUAGACCAUCACUCCUAUUCUUGUACUCCUGGGGUUGAGGUACUCGGUUAGGGAGUAGGAUUCUCUCCCCUCUUAUUCUCAUCAAGCAGCAAGUAUCACAUCCAUAAUCAAAGAAGCACCCUCGGCAUCGUCUUCUAUCCGCAAAGUUUCAUGCUCCACACAUCACAGAUUUCUCACUCCGAUUUUACUUGCAGAAUAUUUAACCUCACCACUCCCGGCCAAAGCUACUUGUGUCGUUCAUUGGGAAUCAAACAAAAUAUUUAAGUCGGGUCUGUUAUCCCAUAGUCAAGAACACAAGUCUUAGUAAAAGUAAACACAUCAUGACAGGAAGAUACAUCCAUCCAAUGUGAUAGAGGAAAAGGAAUGGAAAUUGCCCAAGUGAUGCUUCAGCGCAAGUCUUUUCUAUGCAAAGACUUUGAACAAACCCUGGCUGACUCUUCCUGUUUACCUUUCCUUGUUUGCGUUUGCACACCAUUGUCACCCCUAUUGUACGUCCACCAUGUAUGGACUUGUAAAUAAGUUGUGCUAUUUUCCAUAUUGCCAAUUGGUUUUAUGGUAGAACAUUAACUUUUUUUAAGAGAUUCGCCAACAAUCUACAUUCCGGUGAAAGAUAUCACCAUAAAAUGUGGCUAUUCCGGCAGCAUAUUCGAUCACUAUGAUAAAUGAAAUUGGAAUGGAGAUGCUUACUUAAACAUUUUCUCCAUUAGAAGCACACCAAGCAGUUGGUAUCACAUCCAUAUCCAAAGCACCACCUUCAAUGUUGUCGUCCUCCGUCCGCCAAGUGCCAUACACCACAACACUUGUAUCAUAGUAGCGUGCAAUUCUUCAUUAGUUCAUUUUCCUUCAAUUCUUCCAGAUGAAGUUGGGCUUUCCAGGACCACCUGUCCUGAUGGAGAAGAAGGAUUUCCUAGUUGAUCUGUCAUUUUUAACAAAUCUUGAAACGAUUCGUAUUUUGUCCUCUUUUUGACACACGAGAUUGAAACAGAAAUCCCACCGGGCGUGCCAAAACUAUGUUCGUGGCUAGAAUUUCCGUCGGGGAUGCUUCCUAGCCGACAAGCACACAGCUCUCCGAGAGGUUGGCGCCAGUUGAUGGUUUCUGUCGGGCUUCUGCUUACUGGCGGGCUUGUCGGGCAAAUCUUGUCGGGUAAGGCUUGUUGGGCAAGGCUGAAAGAGAAGGAUAGGGUUAACUUUGAAAGGUGCCUUUGUAGGGCCUUAGGUAUAGGCCUUGAGGCUCACAAUCAAGAUUAACUUUUAGGUAUUCAGGCGUGCCACUGCCAUCUUUAGCAUGGCAGAUGUAAAACAGAUGUUGAGUUUUAAUUGUAUAUAUACCCGAGAGGUUGUUUUAGUUAUGAAAGGUGCAUUUGUGGGGCCUUAGGUGUAGGCCUUGAGGCUUCCCAUCAAUAACUAACUCAGUACUCGAACAUAUAAUGUCUAUUUCAUUGGUUGCAGAAGUGUUAUGACUAUUAUACUUCUAAUUACCCGAGCCCGAAGAGCCAAAUGCAUCCAAAUAGGUGCCUUUGUAGGGCCAUAGGUAUAAGCCUUGAGGCUUCCCAUCAGAAUUACUUCUAUACUCAAAUGUUCUACGAUAAUCAUAAUAUAACAGAAAUAAAACUUAGGAAAUCGGUCGAUUACUUGCGCCCCAAGUAACUUCUGACUUCUUGUUAUCAAAGACUGUCGUGGAUGGGUUAAGUCCACAUAAGGUUCUUUUUUAUGCCUUGAGACCAAGGACUUUUGAAUGAUCAAUCUUACAUGCCCAAGGGUUUAGAACUUAGAUCUGAUUUAAGUUGUGACUACAUAUUCCAAUCGGAAUCAAGGACUGAGGAGUCUUUUAAUCAUCAACUUGCUGGAACUAACUUGGAUACAAAUGGAAGUAUACAAUAUAUUACUAGACUUAUGAAUGAAAAGACCAAAAAACAAAGAGGGUCGGGCAAGGUUUCACCUUGUCAGGCAAGACUGGUCGUCUUGCAACUUCCUAUCAUGUGAUUUAUGGAGGGGCUUGAGAGCUUUAGAAAGAGGGCUGGGGAGGUGAGUUUACAUAAGGAAAUCGAUACUACAACAAGAUUUAUGCAAGGUAGCAAAACUUUUACAAAGGCUUUGGGUGAGGGUUGAUCCCGAAAGGGAUGAAGGUUUGGGCUGACUACAGCUUCGUUGAAAGCAAAUCUGGCUUGAGCAGAGUUUGUGUUUGUAUUUGUUUGUUUGUUUGAGUGACCUCAUCUCUGAUUUCUCUUUCUUCUUUUAUAGGCAGUUUGGCUUGGCCUCAUGUAGCUUUAAUCUUGCCCGAAUGCAGCUUGAAGGGCAAUGACUCAUCAACUUUUUACUUGUACUGCCACUGUAAAGUGCUUUUGGGCUGAUUAGCUGGCUGGUCUACACCACUUGAUCUCUAGGUAGGUGAACAAGUAGUGCAAAUGAUCUGCAGUCGGAAAAAAGCCCUUUUCUUCCUUCUGGGCUUUGGCUGGGCUUCGGGCCCCUUUCCUCCUAGUCCUCUUGUUGGGCUGACUCCCUUUUGAGCCCAAAGUUCAAGUUUUAACCCAAACAACCCUCCCAUUGAUAGCCAAAUUAAGAGCACUCCAGUAGACUAAGAACCGGCUAUAUGGGUUCUCCAGUAGGUUGUACAGAUUGAACAAACUGUAAACAAAAUGCUUCAUCUGGACUUUCAGACUUUGUAACAACAUUGCGGAUAACAGUGAAUAUGCACUCAAACAUCUGGAAGGAAACAAAAAUACAUGAAUUUGUGUAUGAUGAGCAUUGACAAAACCGUUCAGAUGCCAUUUAAUUGUCGUUAUUAAUUGAAUAAGUUGACACUACGUCCAUAUCGUCUAAUAUUGAUAAUAAGAACGUUUUAAAGAAUAUUAGCAAUUUCAAUUUCUACAAGGGUAAGCAUCUAUGUAAUUCACCAAAAACGCAUGCAGAAUUUUGAAGUAAUUAGGCUAGGGAGCUUCAAGUAAACAAUCUUUCAAAUUUUGUCAAAAAUUGAAGAUAAAAAUGAAUUAGUCGUGAAGGAAUAUUAUCCCCUCCAAAUUAAGUUAAAUAUCUUGAUCAGUACAUUAAGGAUGCUUAAUUUUCAAGUGUGCAGAAAGAAUGAGUGAAGCACAAAUAUCUCAAGUGCAGAUUUAAAGAUCAUGCUUAAUUCAGCAUGUAGUAGAGGUUCGACAUCAACGACAUGCUAAAAACUUAAAGGUCGUUUUCGGGUGGAUGCUAUAUUAAUGGAAGAGAUUGAAUCUCUACAUGUGGUUGAUAGACCAUCACUCCUAUUCUUGUGCUCCUGGGGUUGAGGUACUCGGUUAGGAGUAAGAUUCUCUCCCCUCCUAUUCUCAUCAAGCAGCAAGUAUCACAUCCAUUUUCAAAGAAGCACCUUCGGCAUCGUCUUCUAUCCGCAAAGUUCAAUGCUCCACACAUCACAGAUUUCUCACUCCGAUUGUACUUGCAGAAUAUUUAACCUCACUACUCCCGGCCAAAGCUACUUGUGUCGUUCAUUGGGAAUCAAACAAAAUAUUUAAGUCGGGU